RNAcentral lists this ribosomal RNA (1003 nucleotides) under Azadinium dalianense. Its description in RNAcentral is "partial large subunit ribosomal RNA". It matches the Rfam family "Eukaryotic large subunit ribosomal RNA", at positions 44 to 944 of the family's 3401-position model. The record is from RNAcentral. Lineage: Eukaryota; Dinophyceae; Gonyaulacales; Amphidomataceae.
UAGUAAGCGGAGGACAAGAAACUAAAUAGGAUUCCCCUAGUAAUGGCGAAUGAACAGGGAACAGCUCAGCAUGGAAAUUGGGGUCUCCCGACCUUGAAUUGUAGUCUUGAGAGGUACUGCCAACGGAGGCGCAGAUGUAAGCCUCUUGGAAAAGAGCAUCAACGAGGGUGAGAGUCCCGUUUGUCAUCUGCAGUCCCCCGUGCACGGUGUAUCUUCUAAGAGUCACGUUCCUCGGGAUUGGAGCGCAAAGUGGGUGGUAAAUUUCAUCUAAAGCUAAAUAUUGGUUCGAGACCGAUAGCAAACAAGUACCAUGAGGGAAAGGUGAAAAGGACUUUGAAAAGAGAGUUAAAAGUGCCUGAAAUUGCUGAAAGGGAAGCGAAUGGAACCAGUGUUCUUGAUGAGAUUGCUGCGUACUCUGGUGAUUGUUGGGUGUUCCACCGCAAGGGGGGCAUCUGGUUUUGAGCUAGAUGUGCGUGGUGUUUCUUGUCUUGUGUGUCACCGUCGGUGCUCGAGCGAGGAAAACUCUAGGGAACUGGUAGCCUGCCUCCGGGUGUGUGAAUGUCCUUAGUAGUACUCAUUUGUGUAUCGAUUCCUGCGUGUCUGGUUGCAGUGUUUGAGUCGUCUGGGAGUUUUUCUGAAAGGACUUGUCCCUGAUGAAAUCUUUCUGGGCGCCUGGAGCAUCUCCCUGACACAAAGACGAUGACUAAAUGGUUCUAUUCGACCCGUCUUGAAACACGGACCAAGGAGUCUAACAUAUGUGCGAGUUCACGGGUGUUAAACCUGAAAGCGCAAUGAAAGUGACUGCUGGGAUUUUUGCACCAGCAACCGACCAAUCAAUCGAGAGAGGUUUGAGUAUGAGCAUAUCUGUUAGGACCCGAAAGAUGGUGAACUAUGCCUGAGAAGGGCAAAGUCAGGGGAAACUCUGAUGGAGGCUCGUAGCGAUACUGACGUGCAAAUCGUUCGUCAUACUUGGGUAUAGGGGCGAAAGACUAAUCGAACCAUC